AUCAGCUUGCUAGUCUCCCCUGGAGGCGACACGCUCAACGUGCGGAAAGGCCCUCCUUGGAGGGAAAUCCGCAGCUCCUACCCGGAGUUCAGAGACUCAAUGAGUGUGGGUGUGGCCUAGCCACGCUUAAGAUAGAGCCCGUCCCGGCUGGCAACUGCCGGGAGUCAACGGAACCUGCGGAAGGAUCAUUAAAGAAUACAAGGCUUUCGAGCCCUAUUCUCACCCCUUGUAUAUUAACUUUGUUGCUUUGGCAGGCCUCCGGCUUUGGCUGGGUCGUGUCUGCCAGAGGCCUAACUCUUGAAUCACUGCGGUCUGAGUACUAUAUAAUAGUUAAAACUUUCAACAACGGAUCUCUUGGUUCUGGCAUCGAUGAAGAACGCAGCGAAAUGCGAUAAUUAAUGUGAAUUGCAGACUCAGUGAAUCAUCGAAUCUUUGAACGCACAUUGCGCCCUCUGGUAUUCCGGGGGGCAUGCCUGUUCGAGCGUCAUUACAACCCUCAAGCUCUGCUUGGUGUUGGGCCUGGCCCUGUAGGGCCGGCCUCAAAGUCAGUGGCAGCACCGUCUGACCCUAAGCGUAGUAAUACUCGCCGCUUUUGUGGUUAUGCGUGGGCUGCCAAUCAACCCCCACCAUCAAGGUUGACCUCGGAUCAGGUAGGGAUACCCGCUGAACUUAAGCAUAUCAAUAAGCGGAGGAAAAGAAACCAACAGGGAUUGCCUCAGUAACGGCGAGUGAAGCGGCAACAGCUCAAAUUUGAAAGCUGGCUCCUUUGGGGGCCCGCGUUGUAAUUUGUAGAGGAUGCUUCGGGUGCGGCGCCGGUCUAAGUUCUUUGGAACAAGACGUCAUAGAGGGUGAGAAUCCCGUAUGUGACUGGUUGCCUGU
Molecule: ribosomal RNA, 879 nt
Filed under: Leotiomycetes sp. genotype 648 JMUR-2016
Lineage: Eukaryota; Fungi; Ascomycota; Leotiomycetes
Description: eukaryotic LSU rRNA
Rfam family: Eukaryotic large subunit ribosomal RNA (bases 637-879)
Source: RNAcentral